AGCUUUGUGCAGUAGCAGUAUUGUAGCCAAUGAGGUUUAUCCAAGGCACGAUUAUUGCUAAUUGAAAACUAUUGUAGGAAAUUUUAAGUAGACAUUUAACAGUGUGAUUCCAUA
This 114-nucleotide small nuclear RNA is filed under the name Rattus norvegicus (Norway rat). Its description in RNAcentral is "U4 spliceosomal RNA". It matches the Rfam family "U4 spliceosomal RNA". Rfam says of the family: U4 small nuclear RNA (U4 snRNA) is a component of the major U2-dependent spliceosome. The structure of U4 snRNA from yeast and human has been reported. The record is from Rfam by way of RNAcentral. Lineage: Eukaryota; Metazoa; Chordata; Mammalia; Rodentia; Muridae.